Suncus etruscus (white-toothed pygmy shrew) is the source of this 103-nucleotide small nucleolar RNA. RefSeq annotates it as small nucleolar RNA U13. The record is from RefSeq and is a predicted model, not a curated record. The transcript has a single exon. Lineage: Eukaryota; Metazoa; Chordata; Mammalia; Eulipotyphla; Soricidae.
AUCCUUUCCAGUUCAUAAAUAUGAUUAGCGGGUGUUCAUACUCUUGUGUGGUAUGUGCCUCCCUUAAACCUUGUUAAAACAUUGGCACAUUACCCUUUAGAUA